CGUGGCUAGUGACUGUCUUUACAGUCUUCUAGGUUUCAUAAUAUAACUGUUGUAAUAGGCUGACCUUCAGGUUAGUGACCUGCCCCUGGCUCGCUGCUCAUUAUGGGUACGUCAUUCUGACUAAAUCAACAGGUUCAGCGCAUGUUCAGCAAAACUGUACCAAUACAAUUACGCUAGAGUGUUCUAGAAUAAUUUGGUGCAUCGAUUAGUAAUUCUCAGCAACAAGAAACACACAAAGGGUAUAGCAUAGUACGAACAGGCACUCAAAUUAUGAGCGCAAUGCGUCAAGACAUGAGCAUCUACUUUUGAUACGGGUACACCUCUCUGAUAAGAAUACGAGACGCCUAGGCAUUUUCCUACGUGAAGCUCUACGGUUACUUCUCCACGGGUCAUGUUGUUACAAUAUCCCUCCGCUUGUCUGGUCCUGUAGGGACUGUCGUC
Molecule: long non-coding RNA, 441 nt
Organism: Corticium candelabrum
Lineage: Eukaryota; Metazoa; Porifera; Homoscleromorpha; Homosclerophorida; Plakinidae
Exons: 3
Source: RefSeq, a predicted model, not a curated record